AGUUGUAAAGCCGACAAGGUAAUUAAAAUGGUAGACCAAUGUAAUUAAGAAGGAAAAAAUAUUAUAUUUCCUUUUUGACAGACAAACAGAAACUUUCUGUCUGAUAUAAGUACUGUAGCUCUUCCUGAUAAAGAUGUAGUUUAUAUGGUUUUAUAAACUGCUAGUAUUAAAGGUACAAUAUGUACGUUUUCGCCGCUAGGGGGCGCAUAUUCAAAACAAACAAAGAACCAAAGGUGUAGUUUGAUGAGGCCAUGAUAGAGUGUGGAAUCAUGGGAGUUGUUAUCUACAUCUAGAUGGGUAGGGCUAAAAGUCAUGAAAGCAAAAUAAGGAUGCAAGAGCGAUCACUAAUGAAGGACAAGUGUGAUACAUGGCUCGAAAGCAGUGGAGCUUUAAUUAUGCUACAGUCGAUCACUUCCACUUUUUUUCAGUCAUGCAUACUGUAUGUAGGAAAAGCAGCACUGUUUUAUCAUACCAGAUACAUUUCAGUGUGUUGAAAGUUCUCUAAUAAUGCUACUCUGUGUGUUCAUCACCUGUCUAAUAAAAUUGCAUAACAUAUUGAAGUGUCUUUGGUGUUUCCGUGUUUUCUAAAAAAUAAAACCGGAAAAUUGAGGCUGCAUGAUGUCAUUGGCUGGUGAUGCAAUGACACAGCUUAUUACACAGGUUAAUAUUGCUUAUUUCUCUGGAUUUAAACAUUUGAAACAUUUGGGAUAAUGACAAGUCAGCAAAAUAUAUAACACUGUUUUAGCGGUUUUUGGAUAUUUUAAUUAAAAAAAAAUCUUCUGCUUUUAAAGAGAGACUGUUAGUAUCAAGCAGACAGAAAAAGAACAUUGCAGCAGCACUUACAGAUUGCCUGAAAUAUAUUUAAAGUAUCAAAUAAUGGAAAGAUAGCAGCAUAAUUUAUGAAAAAGGACAGAUAACCAGGCCCAGUAAUCAUAUUAGAUACAAUCAUAUACAUUUCUUCAAGUAACUUCAAGUUUUUUGUUUGUUUUUUUUUCAAGUAACUUUGUUUUCACAGCUCUCCUGUGACAGCUGAGAGAGAUUGGGAGUAAGUGCAUGGGAAGUACACACUGAUGCUGGACAAUAAACUAUUUUGAAAGUAACUUUCCCAGUCUGUCUGAAAACCCAACCCCCCUCCUUUUGAAAAGCCCAGAAUAUUCUGAUUGACCAACAAACCCAGUGCGCUGUGAUUGGCCAGACAGUUCAAGCAUGUUUUGGAAAUAUAAUGUCCCUUACCACAAUCCAAGCUUCAGCUUCCAGGACUUCUAAAGGCCCCAGUAUACUCAAAACAAAAUAAUUGGUAUACUGUAAGCGAACAUCCCAACGUCGCCUAUUCUGAUUAAAGCAACGUUUAAAUGAAUAUGUGCUGUUCACUUUCCUCUCAUUAACAAUAUACAUGCAACAAAAAUGAAGAAAACUUCAAGGACAGACAAAAUGAGCCCAGAGAAGAGUUCCGCGUGAAAGAAGGUGGAGCUUUAGCACACACCCCCUAUGAUGUAAUCGUCACAAACUUUUAGCGGAACAAACUUUUCCAGAAAGUUUGCUUUGGCAAGUCGUUUCAAACUCCCAGAAUGAACUUUGUUUUGGCCAGAUUUUUUUUUUCAAAAUUAUAUUGCAUCAGUUCGUUCUGUGAUUUUGUUUGAAGUAUAUUGGGGCCUUAAAGUAACUACAAACAGUUAAUCCGUAAAAUGCAUUGUAUGCAAGCUAACUUUUGGGUUGUACUGCAAACACAUUACAAACUAAAGAAAAAGGAAAACAAGAAAAAGUCUCAUGUGACCCCUUUAAACUAUACUCGGCAGAUUUGGUUUGAUUAAAAAAGCUCUGCUACUGAGGUUCUUUUAAAUAAGUAUGCUGGUGCACACCAAACAAGUGUAACCCUUUUUCACCCUUUUAGAGGCCACAGCCUCUAGCAUCAAAAGCUAGUGCUUGAGGCCAGUGAUGUUUUACUUGUGCAGCUCUUUACUAGCUGGCCUUUGUUACACCAGCCAACCUCAGCCAGAAUUCCAGAGGGUCUCUGUCUGCUUCAAAAUUAACUCUGGUAUAGUUCGACAGAAAUAUGAAUGCAGCAUGGACAAAAGACGUCAAAGCAAACUAAAAACAGGAUGUGAUGUCACAAGAUCUGGUCAAGCAUGCAUUGUUUUUCUCAUUGUGUUGCUAAUUGCAGUUUGGUACAGUCAUGAGAACCACAUCUUCUGCAUUUAAACUGCAUUUUGGAAGUUCAAACUCGCAGGCACCAUAUAUAAGUCCACUAUAUGGAGAAAUGUUCCUGAAAUGUUUUCCUCAAAAAACAUAAUUUCUUUACGAAUGAAGAAAGAAAGACCUGCAUAUCUUAGAUAAUAAUGGGGUGUGUAAAUUAGUGAGUCAUGGGUGUGGAAAACUGGAUGGCAGUACGCUGAAAGAAAGGGAUUGGGUCAGAUAUAAUUCUUUGACCACUUCAUAUGUUUUGCACAUUUGUUGAAAAAAAGAAACAGCUGCUUCUAUUAUGCCAUUUUAAAGGUUGCUAAUAUUGUUUUAUGAGUCUCCCUAAAACAGGUUUACAUGUAUGCAACGUCAAAAAACACUUUAGUUUUCUCCAAAAAUAGAUUUAUUUUACCUGAUUUCUAACUGAUUCGUAAAUGACUUGUGCGAAUUAGUUUGAAGAAUCAGUCUCUCUAAACCCCUCCUUUCUUCGAGCCCUCACUGCUCUGAUUGGUCAGAUGGCGCAGUCCUUUAUGAUUGGUUUACCAUGUACAGCACGUGUCGGAGAACGAAACGCCCAUUGCCAUAACUGAAUGACAGCCCUGGAGACUUGUCAAUACAUAGUAAAGUUGGCAUCAAUUUUACCUUACCAAUUCAAACCAGAGUCUGAUGAUGAAACGGUUGAAGUGGCUGAUCAACAGUUCAGCAAGGACUACCAUGGAAAGUGCUCGCAAUUUGCUUAUAUAAGCGAACCGGGCAAACCUCUAUGUUGUAAACUUCAACAUUGUAUGAUGCAUUAAGCGGCUUUCACAGAACGCAGAAAGCACUUUGCUGGCCGCUGGGUUCAGUGCAGCCCUUCAGAGCGCUACGGCAAAAGUUCAACUAAUUUGAACUUUGAGCAUGGUGUUCGUGGGUUGUGCACCAGUGGUGUGCUCCGCUGCAUGUGUGCUUUGGUUGACGCAGAAACAAGCCAUCCUCGCAUUUCUGCAUUCCGUGUGAAAGCCGCUUCGUGUGCCAUCCUUUAUCAUUACUUCAACUAAUAAGAAAGACUGCAUCAAUCACAUUUUUUUAGACUACAGUGGGUCCACAGCUUAACAACAGAACUACAGAACUGUUUGUGCAGGCAUGUGCAGGGUUGUUACACAGCAUAACAUACGCAACUACAUAUUUUGAAUGAUUGCUAGAAAAUACAAUAUUUGUAGACUCAUUUUUUGGAAGUGAAUAUAAAACAAAUUUACUCACAGCACAGGAUACAGCAUCUUCUCGACAUAAACCACAUGAAAAUUUUACUCUGUGGACAGGCAUAUUAGUUGUGACGUAGAACGUGGGCAGGCAUUAUGCAAAUGUGUUACUUUGUAACCUAUAGCUGUAACAGAAUAAGAUUAGAAUUCCUGAUGACUCAUUCAGGCGAUUGUGACUUUUUUUUUUUUUUUUUUGAUAGACAAUAACUUCAUUUUGCAAGUUCACACUUGCAUAUAAUAAACUGAGUAAAGGUUAUGCGUAUUUGCUAUUUAAUAACACGCCUAUGUUUUAUGUAAGUUUCUUGUUGUACGGAUAAGCAAUUGACCGAAUUGCGCUAGUGAAAUUGAAAGUAAAAGGAAAAUGUGCACGGGCAUUUAUAAGCUAUUUAAACAGCUAUAUAUACAGUAUAUAUAUAUAUAUAUAUAUAUAUAUAUAUAUAUAUCUGUAUAUUUAUUCCUUACAAUUUAUUAUAUAGGUCUUUAUGCAUGUACUAUGUGCUCAUAUUUAUUGACAAUUGUCUUUAUGAUUGUUACAACUAAUGCUGUAUGACAUGAAAUAUCCUGAGUGGACGGUAUGGUGUUGCGUGGUCCAGGGUUACUAUGGUAACGGAAAGCCGCAAGGAAGAGACUGUCAUUACUAGAGCGGCUCAGCUUUGAAAAACAACGCAACUUUGACCAUCUCAUUAUUUCUGUCACAUAGGUGGGUAAAUUCUGUCAAAAAGUUCAUACAUUGUCAAGAGAAUAUGUUACUAAAGUGUUUCUAGCAGUUACCUGAGUUAAAGUGCGGUUUAAGAGUUAAUUAAUAGCGGAGAUUGUAUACGCUCAUCAUAACGGCCAUUAACGGUCCGGGUGUGUUAUAUAUUAAUUUUAAGGUAACAAAAAUGCUUCAGCACGCUGAAAUCCCAUACUACUGUUACGUUUUUUUGUAUUAAAGUUUACAAAAGGGAUAUUACUAAUUAUUUCGUUUUGUAUGAAUACAGUAUUGGUUACAAAUAUUUGUAAAACUCAUCAAAUGUAGUUGUUUAUUUUUGUAUUACGGAGAGCUAGCUCAGUUCAAACGAAUUAUACUUCGAUUAAUACAUUUAAUGUUUAUAUGGACGUUUGGUCAAAUGCUUAAUUUAUAUGAAGCUUACAGAAACAGUCUAAUGGUUAUAUCAGUUUAUGUGGAAUAAGUAUUAAUUAGAUUCCACUAAUAUGUUUUAUGGAUGUACUGAAUAAAAAGUGAAAGCAUAAAGAAAGAGCCAAGACAAGGGUUUGGUUAUGCAGAAAACACUGUUUAUUGAUUUUGCUGAAUCAAGACUUCAAGAAUCAUUAUUGCUGUAUGGGGAUAUUAGUGAAGUUACAAGACAUUGUGGUUAAAUGAUUGUAAUAAAGUCAUUACUAGACCGGCUCAGCUUCGAAAAACAACACAACUUUGACCGUCUCAUUAUUUCUGUCACAUAGAUUUCACUGCAGUACUGCCCACUGGACAGUGGGCGUGCUACAGAUUUUUGGGGGCUCGUCCGGGAUCUAGCGCCAUGGUACGCAGAUCCGAUACAACUGAACCACAGAACGGCCGAGUGACGGGUUAUCAGUGUGAGGACCACGGAAGGGCAGCUCAGCAGCGACAGGAGAACCAAGGCACGGCAGUGAAGGAGUUUCCUGGCUGAGGAGAAGCGGUGCAGCGUGGUGCGAGCCAAAACGUGAUUGCCGCUGUACUGUGAAUCUCAAGCAUACCUGCAUUCUUAUCAUGGGUGAUGGGCAGUUCAAGAUUGCUGUCGUUCAAGAAGUUAAUGACCACUGUUGCUGUUGCGAGCUACAAAUACCCAGGCGGCACUUACAUUGGAAUUCAUACAGAAAGUUUUCUUGUGAAGAAAUCCUAAAUGAGGGUUGAGAUGAAGGCAACCAGGUGAUGGGCAGUUCAAGAUUGCUGUCGUUCGAGAACGGUUGCGGUUGUGAGCUACAAAAUACCCAGAGGAGGCGGCACUUACUCUGGAGUUCAUACAGAAAGUUUCCUGUGAAGAAAUCCUAAAUGAGGGUUGAGAUGAAGGCAACCAGAAUUUUCCUGUGAAGAAAUCCUGAACGUGGUUUGAGAUGAAGGCAACCAAGUGGCUAUGCAUUCCUCCAAGACUCUUGCAUGAAUAAUUUCGAAAAUCCAUAUGAGUUUUUAAAUUGAAAAAAAUGGCACUUGCAUUAAACAUGCAGUUAAAUGGGAAAUAAUACAUCCCCUAUAAUGAAUUGCAUCACUUCAAUGAUAUUUCUGUUACAGUGAACUUCAAAAUUCUGUUGUCAAGCCACUGGAGUCACAUACUUUAUACUUUUCUGGACUUUGAAAAUGGUAGUUGCAUAGACAAUCAACAGAGGGACAAAAAAGUACCCAGAUUUAACUAAAAAUAAUUUUAAUUUGUGUUCUAAAAAUGAAUGAAAGUCUUAUGGGUUUGGAAUGGUAUGAGGCUGAGUAAUUGACUGAAUUAACAUGUUUGUGUGAACUAUAACUCUAAACAAUAUUGUUUUCUCUUAUAAGAAAAAAAAAAGUUUUGAAUCUUGACUGUUUUACAGUUUGAAGUUUAAAUUUUGUGACCACUUUUUAGUACAACACCUGUAUUGUACGGAUGCUCAUGUUUUCUUUUUGUUUUCUUUUUGACAGAAAAUUCUGUCUGUUACUGUUUAAAGCUAAACUGUCUUUUACAAUACAGGCAUUUUGCCUGAGUUGACACAUUGUUAAAUGAAUUGAGUAUUUGAUGUUGUUUAGUCCUAACCCACUUAAGGCAAACAAAAGCCAUUGAAUGCACUUUUAAGAAUGUUUAAAUGAAGUAAAA
Long non-coding RNA from Labeo rohita (rohu), 6214 nucleotides. RefSeq lists it as uncharacterized. The record is from RefSeq and is a predicted model, not a curated record. The transcript has 7 exons. NCBI's taxonomy places the organism in Eukaryota, Metazoa, Chordata, Actinopteri, Cypriniformes, Cyprinidae.